GGGUGAGUAACACGUGGGUAACCUGCCUGUAAGACUGGGAUAACUCCGGGAAACCGGAGCUAAUACCGGAUAGUUCCUUGAACCGCAUGGUUCAAGGAUGAAAGACGGUUUCGGCUGUCACUUACAGAUGGACCCGCGGCGCAUUAGCUAGUUGGUGGGGUAAUGGCUCACCAAGGCGACGAUGCGUAGCCGACCUGAGAGGGUGAUCGGCCACACUGGGACUGAGACACGGCCCAGACUCCUACGGGAGGCAGCAGUAGGGAAUCUUCCGCAAUGGACGAAAGUCUGACGGAGCAACGCCGCGUGAGUGAUGAAGGUUUUCGGAUCGUAAAGCUCUGUUGUUAGGGAAGAACAAGUGCGAGAGUAACUGCUCGCACCUUGACGGUACCUAACCAGAAAGCCACGGCUAACUACGUGCCAGCAGCCGCGGUAAUACGUAGGUGGCAAGCGUUGUCCGGAAUUAUUGGGCGUAAAGGGCUCGCAGGCGGUUUCUUAAGUCUGAUGUGAAAGCCCCCGGCUCAACCGGGGAGGGUCAUUGGAAACUGGGAAACUUGAGUGCAGAAGAGGAGAGUGGAAUUCCACGUGUAGCGGUGAAAUGCGUAGAGAUGUGGAGGAACACCAGUGGCGAAGGCGACUCUCUGGUCUGUAACUGACGCUGAGGAGCGAAAGCGUGGGGAGCGAACAGGAUUAGAUACCCUGGUAGUCCACGCCGUAAACGAUGAGUGCUAAGUGUUAGGGGGUUUCCGCCCCUUAGUGCUGCAGCUAACGCAUUAAGCACUCCGCCUGGGGAGUACGGUCGCAAGACUGAAACUCAAAGGAAUUGACGGGGGCCCGCACAAGCGGUGGAGCAUGUGGUUUAAUUCGAAGCAACGCGAAGAACCUUACCAGGUCUUGACAUCCUCUGACAACCCUAGAGAUAGGGCUUUCCCUUCGGGGACAGAGUGACAGGUGGUGCAUGGUUGUCGUCAGCUCGUGUCGUGAGAUGUUGGGUUAAGUCCCGCAACGAGCGCAACCCUUGAUCUUAGUUGCCAGCAUUCAGUUGGGCACUCUAAGGUGACUGCCGGUGACAAACCGGAGGAAGGUGGGGAUGACGUCAAAUCAUCAUGCCCCUUAUGACCUGGGCUACACACGUGCUACAAUGGACAGAACAAAGGGCUGCAAGACCGCAAGGUUUAGCCAAUCCCAUAAAUCUGUUCUCAGUUCGGAUCGCAGUCUGCAACUCGACUGC
Molecule: ribosomal RNA, 1228 nt
Filed under: Bacillus sp. (in: firmicutes)
Lineage: Bacteria; Bacillati; Bacillota; Bacilli; Caryophanales; Bacillaceae
Description: bacterial SSU rRNA
Rfam family: Bacterial small subunit ribosomal RNA
Source: RNAcentral